RNAcentral lists this transfer RNA (73 nucleotides) under Gonyostomum semen. RNAcentral describes it as "tRNA-Trp". It matches the Rfam family "tRNA". Rfam says of the family: Transfer RNA (tRNA) molecules are approximately 80 nucleotides in length. Their secondary structure includes four short double-helical elements and three loops (D, anti-codon, and T loops). Further hydrogen bonds mediate the characteristic L-shaped molecular structure. tRNAs have two regions of fundamental functional importance: the anti-codon, which is responsible for specific mRNA codon recognition, and the 3' end, to which the tRNAs corresponding amino acid is attached (by aminoacyl-tRNA synthetases). tRNAs cope with the degeneracy of the genetic code in two manners: having more than one tRNA (with a specific anti-codon) for a particular amino acid; and 'wobble' base-pairing, i.e. permitting non-standard base-pairing at the 3rd anti-codon position. The record is from RNAcentral. Lineage: Eukaryota; Raphidophyceae; Chattonellales; Vacuolariaceae.
GCGUCUUUAGUUCAGUUGGUAGAACGUUGGUCUCCAAAACCAAAUGUCGUGGGUUCAAGUCCUACAAGGCGUG